GACGAACGCUGGCGGCGUGCUUAACACAUGCAAGUCGAACGAAGAGCGAUGGAAGCUUGCUUCUAUCAAUCUUAGUGGCGAACGGGCGAGUAACGCGUAAUCAACCUGCCCUUCAGAGGGGGACAACAGUUGGAAACGACUGCUAAUACCGCAUACGAUCUAAUCUCGGCAUCGAGGAUAGAUGAAAGGUGGCCUCUACAUGUAAGCUAUCACUGAAGGAGGGGAUUGCGUCUGAUUAGCUAGUUGGAGGGGUAACGGCCCACCAAGGCGAUGAUCAGUAGCCGGUCUGAGAGGAUGAACGGCCACAUUGGGACUGAGACACGGCCCAGACUCCUACGGGAGGCAGCAGUGGGGAAUCUUCCGCAAUGGACGAAAGUCUGACGGAGCAACGCCGCGUGAGUGAUGACGGCCUUCGGGUUGUAAAGCUCUGUUAAUCGGGACGAAAGGCCUUCUUGCGAAUAGUGAGAAGGAUUGACGGUACCGGAAUAGAAAGCCACGGCUAACUACGUG
This 510-nucleotide ribosomal RNA is filed under the name uncultured bacterium. RNAcentral describes it as "partial 16S ribosomal RNA". It matches the Rfam family "Bacterial small subunit ribosomal RNA", at positions 28 to 507 of the family's 1533-position model. The record is from RNAcentral.